RNAcentral lists this ribosomal RNA (2185 nucleotides) under Megasphaera sp. BL7. RNAcentral describes it as "bacterial LSU rRNA". It matches the Rfam family "Bacterial large subunit ribosomal RNA", at positions 3 to 2202 of the family's 2925-position model. Lineage: Bacteria; Bacillati; Bacillota; Negativicutes; Veillonellales; Veillonellaceae. The record is from RNAcentral.
UCAAGUAAGUAAGGGCGUACGGCGGAUGCCUUGGCCAUAUCAGCCGAAGAAGGACGCGAUAAGCUGCGAUAAGCUGCGGUGAGGUGCAAGUAACCUUUGACCCGCAGAUCUCCGAAUGGGGAAACCCGGCAGCAGUAGUGCUGUCAUCCUCUAUGAGGAAGGGCACCCGGUGAACUGAAACAUCUAAGUAGCCGGAGGAAAAGGAAUCAACAGAGAUACCCCUAGUAGCGGCGAGCGAACGGGGCAGAGCCCAAACCGGGAUGGGAAACCAAUCCGGGGUUGUGGACUGCUAUCAAAUGCAUGAGUGAAGCAGAAUGAGCUGGGAAGCUCAGCCAGAGAGAGUGAGAGCCUCGUAGGCGUAAGCAAGUGCAUGGAGCAGGAUCCGGAGUACCACGGGACACGAGAAACCCUGUGGGAAGCUGGGGGGACCACCCUCCAAGGCGAAACACUGAUAUGGACCGAUAGCGCAUAGUACCGUGAGGGAAAGGUGAAAAGAACCCCGGGAGGGGAAUGAAAGAGAACCUGAAACCGUAUGUCUACAAGCAGUCGAAGACCUUUAUAUGGUCGACGGCGUGCCUAUUGAAGAAUGAACCGGCGAGUUACUUCAGCUAGCGAGGUUAAGCAGGAAAUGCGGAGCCGCAGCGAAAGCGAGUCUGAACAGGGCGUAUAGUUAGUUGGAGUAGACCCGAAACCACAGUGAUCUACCCAUGUCCAGGUUGAAGCACAGGUAAAAAUGUGUGGAGGACCGAACCAGUGAGCGUUGAAAAGCUUUUGGAUGAGAUGUGGGUAGGGGUGAAAUGCCAAUCGAACGUGGAGAUAGCUGGUUCUCCCCGAAAUAGCUUUAGGGCUAGCCUCAUGGCGAGAGUACAGGCGGUAGAGCACUGAACGGGGUAGGGGCCUAUCCGGCUACUGAACCUAAUCAAACUGCGAAUGGCUGUACUUAUCCAUGGGAGUCAGACUGUGAGUAAUAAGGCCCAUAGUCAAGAGGGAAACAGCCCAGACCAACAGCUAAGGUCCCCAAUGCCGUACUAAGUGGCGAAGGAUGUGGAAUUUCGAAAACAACCAGGAUGUUGGCUCAGAAGCAGCCACCAUUAAAAGAGUGCGUAAUAGCUCACUGGUCGAGAGACUCUGCGCCGAAGAUGUCCGGGGCUAAAGUACGGAACCGAAGCUUUGGCAAUUAACAUAAGUUAAUUGGGUAGGGGAGCGUUCCUGCAUGGGAGAAGCCUGACCGGAAGGACAGGUGGACAGGCAGGAAGAGAGAAUGCCGGUAUGAGUAGCGAAAAGAAGGGUGAGAAUCCCUUCCACCGAAAGCCUAAGGGUUCCUGGGCAACGAUCGUCGUCCCAGGGUAAGUCGGGACCUAAUCCGAGGCGGAGACGCGUAGGAGAUGGACAACAGGUUGAAAUUCCUGUACUGGCUGAGGCCGUUUGAGCGAAGGAGUGACACAGGAAGGAAGGCGCGCGUGCGAUUGGAAGAGCACGUCCAAGCAGGUAGGUCGGGAGACAGGCAAAUCCGUUUCCCGUAAGGCCGAGAUGCGAUGGGGAGCUUCUGGAGACAGAAGCGAAGGGGCUGGCACUAAACUGUCGAGAAAAGCUUCUAGUGAGGACUCAGGCACCCGUACCGAAACCGACACAGGUAGGCAGGAUGAGAAUUCUAAGGUGCGCGGGAAAACCCUCGUUAAGGAACUCGGCAAAAUAUAUCCGUAACUUCGGGAAAAGGAUAACCCAGCGUACGUGAAGUGCAGAAGCGCAUGGAGCGGAGAUGGGUGGCAGAAGAGAGGCCCAAGCGACUGUUUACCACAAACACAGGCGUCUGCUAAAGCGAAAGCUGAUGUAUAGAUGCUGACACCUGCCCGGUGCUGGAAGGUUAAGAGGAAGUGUUAGCGCAAGCGAAGCAGUGAAUUGAAGCCCCAGUAAACGGCGGCCGUAACUAUAACGGUCCUAAGGUAGCGAAAUUCCUUGUCGGGUAAGUUCCGACCCGCACGAAAGGUGUAACGAUUUGGGCACUGUCUCAACGAGGGACCCGGUGAAAUUGAAGUACCUGUGAAGAUGCAGGUUACCCGCGACUGGACAGAAAGACCCCAUGGAGCUUUACUGUAACCUGAGAUUGGAUUCCGGUAAGAGAUGUACAGGAUAGUUGGGAGGCUGAGAAGUGAGUACGCAGUAUCAGCGGAGCGCGUGGAUACCA